Long non-coding RNA from Vitis vinifera (wine grape), 381 nucleotides. RefSeq lists it as uncharacterized. Lineage: Eukaryota; Viridiplantae; Streptophyta; Magnoliopsida; Vitales; Vitaceae. The record is from RefSeq and is a predicted model, not a curated record. The transcript is spliced from 2 exons.
GUAGAAUGGCUUCCAACAAUGUUUCUUCUGUUACUCGGUUCUUCUUCAUUGGAAUUUUAUGCAUUGCUUUGAUUUCAUCAAGUACAGUGGAAUCGAUUGUGGAACCCUGCCUUGGACCGUGCUCAGGUUUUCCAGACUGCAAUAAGGCUUGUAUUGCCAAGGGGUUUCCCAAAGGAGGUGUGUGCCUGGGGUUUAGUGGCACUCCUCUAGCUUGCUGCUGUAAUAAUAAUUAAUGAAUGCCGUGAAGAAUUCCCAUGGCAUUGGCUUGUAAUCUUUGUUUAAAAUAAAAGGUUUAAUUGAUUAGGGUCUUUCCCUUCAACCUUCAAGUUGUAUGCCUGGUUUAUAUUAUAAAAUAAAAGAAGUUUAAUUAGUGUCCAUCAA